UCUUCAUUUCUCGUACUCUCUCACCGGUUCAGAGAGGCGAGAGAGAGAGUGUGAGAAAUAAAGAGA
This 66-nucleotide microRNA precursor is filed under the name Pristionchus pacificus. RNAcentral describes it as "mir-8364 microRNA precursor family". It matches the Rfam family "mir-8364 microRNA precursor family". Lineage: Eukaryota; Metazoa; Nematoda; Chromadorea; Rhabditida; Neodiplogasteridae. The record is from Rfam by way of RNAcentral.